Molecule: ribosomal RNA, 492 nt
Filed under: uncultured bacterium
Lineage: Bacteria
Description: partial 16S ribosomal RNA
Rfam family: Bacterial small subunit ribosomal RNA
Source: RNAcentral
AGUGAACGCUGGCGGUAGGCCUAACACAUGCAAGUCGAACGGCAGCACAGUAAGAGCUUGCUCUUACGGGUGGCGAGUGGCGGACGGGUGAGGAAUACAUCGGAAUCUACUUUUUCGUGGGGGAUAACGUAGGGAAACUUACGCUAAUGCCGCAUACGACCUACGGGUGAAAGCAGGGGAUCUUCGGACCUUGCGCGAUUGAAUGAGCCGAUGUCGGAUUAGCUAGUUGGCGGGGUAAAGGCCCACCAAGGCGACGAUCCGUAGCUGGUCUGAGAGGAUGAUCAGCCACACUGGAACUGAGACACGGUCCAGACUCCUACGGGAGGCAGCAGUGGGGAAUAUUGGACAAUGGGCGCAAGCCUGAUCCAGCCAUACCGCGUGGGUGAAGAAGGCCUUCGGGUUGUAAAGCCCUUUUGUUGGGAAAGAAAAGCAGCAGGUUAAUACCCCGCUGUUCUGACGGUACCGAAAGAAUAAGCACCGGCUAACUUCGUG